AUUGAACGCUGGCGGCAGGCCUAACACAUGCAAGUCGAGCGGAUGAAGGGAGCUUGCUCCUGGAUUCAGCGGCGGACGGGUGAGUAAUGCCUAGGAAUCUGCCUGGUAGUGGGGGAUAACGUCCGGAAACGGGCGCUAAUACCGCAUACGUCCUGAGGGAGAAAGUGGGGGAUCUUCGGACCUCACGCUAUCAGAUGAGCCUAGGUCGGAUUAGCUAGUUGGUGGGGUAAAGGCCUACCAAGGCGACGAUCCGUAACUGGUCUGAGAGGAUGAUCAGUCACACUGGAACUGAGACACGGUCCAGACUCCUACGGGAGGCAGCAGUGGGGAAUAUUGGGCAAUGGGCGAAAGCCUGAUCCAGCCAUGCCGCGUGUGUGAAGAAGGUCUUCGGAUUGUAAAGCACUUUAAGUUGGGAGGAAGGGCAGUAAGUUAAUACCUUGCCGUUUUGACGUUACCAACAGAAUAAGCACCGGCUAACUUCGUG
Molecule: ribosomal RNA, 484 nt
Filed under: uncultured bacterium
Lineage: Bacteria
Description: partial 16S ribosomal RNA
Rfam family: Bacterial small subunit ribosomal RNA
Source: RNAcentral